CCCGAAAGGGUGACCCAGCAACGCCGCGUGGAGGAUGAAGGCCGUAAGGUUGUAAACUCCUGUUAGAGGGGAAGAAAAACUCCGAUAGAAUCGGAGACUGACUGUACCCUCAGAGGAAGCCCCGGCUAACUACGUGCCAGCAGCCGCGGUAAUACGUAGGGGGCAAGCGUUGUCCGGAUUCACUGGGUGUAAAGGGCGCGUAGGCGGGCUAGCAAGUCAGAGGUGAAAUCUCCCGGCUUAACCGGGAAACUGCCUUUGAAACUGUUAGUCUUGAGUGCGGAAGAGAGAGACGGAAUUCCAGGUGUAGCGGUGAAAUGCGUAGAUAUCUGGAGGAACACCAGUCGCGAAGGCGGUCUCUUGGUCCGUAACUGACGCUCAGGCGCGAAAGCGUGGGUAGCAAACAGGAUUAGAUACCCUGGUAGUCCACGCUGUAAACGAUGAAUACUAGGUGUUGGGUCGAAAGGCUCAGUGCCGCAGCUAACGCAUUAAGUAUUCCACCUGGGGAGUACGAUCGCAAGGUUGAAACUCAAAGAAAAUUGACGGA
RNAcentral lists this ribosomal RNA (544 nucleotides) under uncultured bacterium. Its description in RNAcentral is "bacterial SSU rRNA". It matches the Rfam family "Bacterial small subunit ribosomal RNA", at positions 374 to 917 of the family's 1533-position model. The record is from RNAcentral.